GGAGUUGUAGCUCAGCAGUAGAGCGCUUUCCUCGUACGUGUGAGGCACUGGUUCGAGUCCCAGCACCA
This 68-nucleotide transfer RNA is filed under the name Ictidomys tridecemlineatus (thirteen-lined ground squirrel). Its description in RNAcentral is "Spermophilus tridecemlineatus (thirteen-lined ground squirrel) tRNA". It matches the Rfam family "tRNA". From Rfam's summary of the family: Transfer RNA (tRNA) molecules are approximately 80 nucleotides in length. Their secondary structure includes four short double-helical elements and three loops (D, anti-codon, and T loops). Lineage: Eukaryota; Metazoa; Chordata; Mammalia; Rodentia; Sciuridae. The record is from Rfam by way of RNAcentral.